GACUAUUUGCCUUCCUCGUGUAAAUAAGUUAAUUCAAAUUUAAAUGAAAAUACAACACUAUUUAAAUCUGUUGUCCAUCGAUAGAACAAUUUUGUACUACUCGUCCCACUUGACUUUUUUGAGAAUAGAAUUUUUCUAAAUUAUGGAAUUUAGUAAAGGGUUAUAAUAAACCUUAAGUAUGUAUGUUGGUACCAUAUGAGAUAUAUCGGGCAUUAAGACAACUCCAUUUACAUGACUCAUAAUUUGCGGUUAGGUAUGAUCGAUCGAGUCAGCUGUAAGUGUAAGUUAGUCGUCGUAUAGGUUAUAUUGAGUUUUCUAUUCGAAUAUUGUUGUUAUGGUGUUCUUGUUGACUAUAAUUUGGGGUUUUAUAGAAAUCUACUGAAUCAACUUGAACACAACUUGGUCUUUAGGAUAUAUAUCAGAGUUUGGACGAUGUCCUACGGUAGGUUAGUUUAGAGUAGUGAAGUAUUCGUAGGUUCGUAUUAUAUUUUAGAAAUUUGGUUUGGUCACGCCUGUGUUGGAUCCCACAGCGUGUGAUUUUUUCUCUGUGGAUACUUGUAUGGAGUAUCUAUAUGAGUAUAUAUAUGUAUAUGCAUAAUAAAAAAAAAGAUUGAUCAUAGGAUCAAUUUUUUUUUCUUACAAGUAAUGGGGGAAUGUAACGAUGAGUUACUACUAUCGUUACUAAAAUGUUAUUCCGAUGGGAACUAGGUAUGCAACCAACUUUACAAGCACUCGUAUUAGAGGUUGCAGUUGAUAGACGAUAAAGUUGGUAAUAUCUGGUAGAUUAGAGUCUAGCAGUUGGCAAUGACGAUAUCCGGCAGGGGUGUAGGUCAUAUCGGCCAUAGCGGCUGGCACUUCACUUGAAUUUUCGUUCUUGUCCGAUCAAGAAGUCCUCCGGUGGCCAUUGUAAGAAUUUACCUUUUGGUUGAAAUAAGUUAUAAGAAGAUUAAUUUACGUUGGAGGAAGUUUUAUUUUUUUGUUUGGGGUUGUGAAGAGUUUUUGGUUCCAAUAUUUUUUGAAGAAAACAAUGGCCACUGGAGGGAGACUAUAACAAAAUUUAAGUCACAUUUGGAUGCUUCAUUUAUUUAUGGAAUAAACAAUCAUUUUGGUAUUAUUUUGGGUUUGGAUUGGAAGAGUUUUGGAUGUUUUUUUUUUCGUUUCUGGAAUAGACACUGAGUUCUACCGACACUAGCAAGUACCUCCUCGUCAAUACUCUGUGUUGCUGUUCCUUACCUCCCGAGGGUUGGGAAGAUCGGAGGAUACGUACCUGGCUCUCUCAUCAUCAACCUCACCAGGAUUUUGGAGAAGCCACAGGCCUACUUUUGUAGAAACGCCAGGUUUUUAUAAUAAAAUUUGAAUUUUCAAUCCUUUUAAAUAAUAGUUUUCAAUUUUCAAUUUUUUUUCAAUAACUCAAAUACAUAACCUUAAUAAUAAUAUAAAUUCACCUUCUUAAACCCUAUUAUCUUUAUAAUAUUCAAUAAUUUUUUUUUGUCAACGAAUUUUAUAUUUCAUUUUCAUGAUUGUAUCAGGUAUUUAAAAUAAUCUCAGGAUUGUAAACUAUCUGGGACGAUACUGUGCACACUAUCGAAGGGUUUAUUUCCUACUCAAUAAUAUUUAUUCCAUUCACCAGAUAUUGUCAGGUUGUCACUUCCGAUCAGAUACGGGAUUGUCAGCCAAUCUUGUAUUCUACAGUAAUAAUUAGUUUGUACAUGCAUAUUUAGAUCAAAUCACUUCCUUAGUAGAAUAAAUUCAUUACAUAUAUUAGUUUUUUCAUACUGUAAAACCUGCAUUAUCGACAGGAGUGUACUACCAUAGUACGUCGGAUAUUUAGCUAGUGUAUAAAAUUGUAUAUAGGGUUUAUAGGUAUUUUUUUUAUUAAAUGUGGUUGUACAUA
RNAcentral lists this long non-coding RNA (1894 nucleotides) under Diabrotica virgifera virgifera (western corn rootworm). RNAcentral describes it as "uncharacterized LOC126883053". The record is from RNAcentral. Lineage: Eukaryota; Metazoa; Arthropoda; Insecta; Coleoptera; Chrysomelidae.